AUCUGUGACGGAGAACAAACAAUUGUAAUGUAUUCAGCCACAAACCAUAGUAUUAUUGUAGAACUAGGUCUCUAGGACAAUGAGGAGCAGGGAGGGUAUAAAUACAGGAGCACAAGGCUGAAGCCUUCCUUUGUACUAAGCCUGGUUUGAGUGUUUGGCGAACCGAUCGCCAAGGCAGCAACAACAAAAGGUAGUGCAUUAAAUUGUGAUUUUAACAUCUGCUGAAACACUGCAUUUUAUAUCGCUUUCCUUUCCAUGUACUUGUAUUUAAUCUAAUGUAUUUGAUUAUUCCACUACAGGAAGCUUGGGCCUUUCGUGUUGUUCUUAAGUCCUGUUUAAGUGUUUGUAGGACAGCGAUCAAGGACAGCUAUUAACAACAAAGGUUAUUACCUGCCUCUGUGUUAACAUUUACUGUAAUUGCAUUUGAAUGUACCUUAAUUAAUUUAUUGAUUGCAUCAAAUCUGUUUACAUUUAGGCUAGCCUUUAUUGUAUAUUUUAUAACAGCAAGAAGCUACUAAUUCAUAGGCCACGGUUUUAUUUGUGCUGCAUUAUUUUCUUUGGCUAACGUUGUUAUUAUUGAGGGCCGGGUAAGCAUCAUCAUUUGGGCCAGACACGGCAGUGUGAGGCAGGCUUAUGGUUCUCUGUAGGUUCUGGGCCUGUUGCUGUGCUGUGUUUUAUUUAAGUAUAAUUGUGGUUCUGAUUACAUAUUACCACAUCAGCCUCUGGUUCUAUUCACCCCGGACUUGUCCCUGUUUGGGGGAUCCCUCACUCCUAGUGAAGGUGGCUUCAUCAAGCAUCUUUUAACGUGUUAGAUGGUAAUAACCUAUUAAACACAUAUUAAAUGGUAAUAACAAGGGAAUAUGUCAUCAUCACCAAUUCCCCUUCAGGCUACAUUAAAAAUAUAUUGUUGUCAGGUUUACCUGUCACAGUUAAGUUCGCUCCAUGGUUAAUAGUAUAUCCCCAUUCUGAUUGUUCUGUUAUUUUUGUCCUGAACUGGUACUCAGCAGAAUCACUCUGUCUCACGUCUUUGAUUCUCAGGUUACACGUUCCAUAACACUUGGACCUGGUAUGUUGAUGAUCCUGACAGCUGUAUUCAACCCGACCUUCAUAGUCCGUAUCACUUCCUAUAUCAACUGGCUGAUUUCUGUCUUCUUUGGUGAACCACAGUGUUUCCAGGGCUGUAGCAUAGCAGUGCUUUUCAUGGUAA
Molecule: long non-coding RNA, 1207 nt
Organism: Gadus macrocephalus (Pacific cod)
Lineage: Eukaryota; Metazoa; Chordata; Actinopteri; Gadiformes; Gadidae
Exons: 2
Source: RefSeq, a predicted model, not a curated record